AAGCUCGUAGUUGAAUUUCGGAUCUGGCUGGGCGGUCUGCCUAACGGCAUGUACUGUCUGGCUGGGUCUUACCUCUUGGUGAGCCGGUGUGCCCUUUAUUGGCGUGCAUCGGGGAACCAGGACUUUUACCUUGAGAAAACUUAGAGUGUUCAAAGCAGGCCUAUGCCCGAAUACAUUAGCAUGGAAUAAUAAAAUAGGACGUGCGGUUCUAUUUUGUUGGUUUCUAGAGUCGCCGUAAUGAUUAAUAGGGAUAGUUGGG
This 259-nucleotide ribosomal RNA is filed under the name uncultured fungus. Its description in RNAcentral is "partial 18S ribosomal RNA". It matches the Rfam family "Eukaryotic small subunit ribosomal RNA", at positions 624 to 886 of the family's 1831-position model. Lineage: Eukaryota; Fungi. The record is from RNAcentral.